This is a long non-coding RNA of Heterocephalus glaber (naked mole-rat), 808 nucleotides long. Lineage: Eukaryota; Metazoa; Chordata; Mammalia; Rodentia; Bathyergidae. The record is from Ensembl.
CUACAGAGCUGGAAGAAGAGAUGGCAGGAUAUGAGGCCAAGACAGUUUGAUUCCAAAAAUCCAAACAAUUCAGAGCUUUACUGUGCAUUGUCAGCUUCCAAAAGAUCAGCGAGUGUGUCCCAAGAAGCUGGCCCUACAUGAUCCAGACACCCAGUGGAAGAAUCUGAGAAGCUGAAGGAGGAUCCAGUGGAUCAACUGUGGGUCCAGAUGUUCCUUACAUCAGUAAGGUUCUCAGGUGAAGCGCUGAGCAUGUCACUGAAAGCCCAGUGGAGUUAAGUGUGCAGAGUCAGUCUGAACAUAAGCUGUAAUGGAUUUGACCUCAAAGCGCACUACAAAGAGAAAUUGCAGAUAACCAUCUGAACUAACUUCUGAAGCUUGUAGUUCUGACUCCUGCGAUACUGAAAAAAAAGGGAGGCCAAACAGAUUGGAGAGAAAAACUCCUAGACAGCAGAGUGAAGAUGAGUCUGAUUUUUAAAAUAAAUAAUGACUUAACUGAUGGCACCCCUUAGAAAAAUGUCUCUUUGCAAUGAACUCCCAUGGUGAAGACAGAGCCAGUUGACUUCCAAGUUGUGGUGGUGCUGUUGGAUUGAUGACUUGUGCAGCAUCUACUCCUUGGUGAGGUCUAUGUCUCUGCCUCCACCAUAGGAGGAAGAAUGUAACACCUUUGGCUGAGCCUGAGCCCCGGAAGCAGGUACUCAGCUGCAACUUUUUAUUUCAAACCUCUUCUGGGGCAGGGAUUUUUUUAUCUUUCAAUGUUUAAAAGGUGAUAUUAUUUUAUAUUUCACACACUUGAACAAAUUGAGAUGAA